CGGUGUGCCGUGGGGGCCUGUUGGGGACUCUUUGCGUCGUUUGAUUUGCUUGGACGGCAUGCGCCUGGGCGAUCCGCCUCACGGUCCAUGACGGGUGGAUAAGGGGCGCUAUCAUGUGGCGGGUUUGGCGCGUGCCGUGCCAGCUGGACCCGCAUGUCGGUGAGGGGAAGCCCUGCGUCACGCUGGUUUGGUUGCGACAGGCGAGGCGUGUGUCGCGCCCAUAGGAUCGGCUAGUGUGUGGAGCUCCCUCUGUCGGGUUGGUUCGCUCAUGCCAGCCAGGUGUGUUUGCCUACCCGGCUUGUCAUCAUCGUUGGCAUUAUUUGGGUUGCUUGCUUUGUCCGGGUUGCUUGUUUUGGUUUGCUCGCGCUCGUCCCACAUGUUGGUCUGUGUUUCAUAUCCCGGUUUAGCGUGUGGGGAUAUUUUAGCAUCUCUCCGCCCUCCUUUGUUCCUCUCAUCUCAUGUCCUUUGGUUUAAUCAGUUGUUUCUUGCGGUCGAGCUAUUGGCUGGCUCUGUCUUUCAGUGUGUUGGGUUGACGCCUCGUAUUGGUGAGUCUAUUGGCCGGGCAUGCCGGCCGGGCAUGUCGGUAUGUGCUUCAUGUCGGUUCAACACACGGGGGUUAUCUUCGUGUCGUAGCUCCUUCCUUCCCCGCCGUCUCACAUCUGCCAAAGCAUCGUGGCUUCCUCUCGUUUGGCUCUUCUCUAAUUGCAAUGGACGAGGGGUCUCUGAGCUCUUUCGUCGGUCGUCCUGGUCGUCCUGCCAGCUGGUUGAGGUGAUUAAGCCGAUGGUCUCCUGUUGGGCGAGGUGCAGCGCGAAGGGAGCGACUUCCAUGCAGAUACUCUCCGACAUGACAACAUGCAGCCGCACGUCUGCCAGUGCGUGGGAGAGGCUAUGAUUGCACUCGCGUUGGUCUUGCUAAGGGGAGCGGCUGGUUGUUAUCGAUGCUCGGCUCGUCUACGGCCUCUUCCUUGUCUCACGGAUUUACAACCAGCUGUCAGAUCACUUGCUCCGGUUUGUUUCCUUGCCUACCGAGCAAGCUCUGCUAGUUCCCUUGAUAGGUCAAGGAGGUAAGUGCACUUUGUUGACCUUGCCUUUUUGCCUUGUGCUUCCCUUUGUCUAUUUGAAUUUGCUUCCUUGAACAUUUGAGUGUUCAUGGAAUUGCGGGGGUAUCUGGCUUUUGGCCACGCUCAAGCGCAUCUCCAGCCUUUUCCUUUUUGCAUGGAUGUGAAGCCAGUUGUUUGCUUGCCUGCUCCAGAUCCCCGCCUUCUACCAUCUCGCAAGGAACUGCAUACGACUGUUGGAUUGCCUACUCUUAUGGGCUAUUUGUUGCCUCUAGAUGCCCCUUUGCAUGUUCUGCCUGGCGUUGCUGGAGCAUGUCUCUGGCCUUUUUCCUCUCGCAUGGAUGUGUAGCUGGUUGCCGUCUUUCCUGCUCCGAAGGGCUCUUUGGUGGCUUCAGAUGGCCCUUUGGUCAUUCCGUUUGGUGGCGCGGGAGCAUGUUUAUGGCCUCUCCCUUCUCGCGUGACAUGCAUGCAACUAUUUGAUACGUCUCCAACGCAUCUAUAAUUUUUUUAUUGUUUCAUGCUAUUAUAAUAUCAAUCUUGGAUGUUUAUUAUGCAAUUAUAUAUCAUUUUUUAGGACUAACCUAUUAACUUAGUACCAAGUGCCAGUUGCUAUUCUUUUGCCUGUUUUUGGUUUUCCAGGAAAUCAAUGCCAAACGAAGUCCAAAUGCCAUGAAACUUUUUGACGAUUUUUUUCUGGACAUAAGAGACACUAGAAGCUUCGUGAGGAGACCAGAAGGCGAAGGAGUGGGCCACGAGCCACCAGGUAGGCGCGCCCUGGUGCCUCAUGGGCCCCUUGUUCCUCUGUUUGACCUAAUUCUAGCUCUAUAAAUUCUCUAAAAUCGGGAAACCAACAGAGAGCCACCCAAAAUACUUUUUCCGUCGCCACAAGCUUCUGUUCUCGCGAGAUCCCAUCCGGAGGCCUUUUCCGGCACUCCGCCUGAGGGGGAAUUGAUCACGAAGGGCUUCCACAUCAACCUUGCUGCCCCUCCGAUGAUGUGUGAGUAGUUUACCACAGACCUACGGGUCCAUAGCUAGUAGCUAGAUGACUUGUUCUCUCUCUUUGAUCUUCAAUACAAUGUUCUCCUCGAUGUUCUUGGAGUUCUGUUCGAUGUAAUCCUUUUUGCCGUGUGUUUGUUGGGAUCAAAUGAAUUGUGGGUUUAUGAUUGGUUUAUCCAUGAAUAUUAUUUGAGUCU
Non-coding RNA from Aegilops tauschii subsp. strangulata, 2251 nucleotides. The record is from RefSeq and is a predicted model, not a curated record. Lineage: Eukaryota; Viridiplantae; Streptophyta; Magnoliopsida; Poales; Poaceae.